RNAcentral lists this unclassified non-coding RNA (329 nucleotides) under soil metagenome. RNAcentral describes it as "partial contains 5.8S ribosomal RNA, internal transcribed spacer 2, and large subunit ribosomal RNA". The stretch from base 1 to 120 matches the Rfam family "5.8S ribosomal RNA", at positions 35 to 154 of the family's 154-position model. The record is from RNAcentral.
GAUGAAGAACGUAGCGAAAUGCGAUAAGUAGUGUGAAUUGCAGAAUUCAGUGAAUCAUCGAAUCUUUGAACGCACAUUGCGCCCCUUGGUAUCCCGAGGGGCAUGCCUAUUCGAGCGUCAUUUCACCACUCAAGCCUGGCUUGGUGUUGGGCGACGUCCUCUUUGGGGACGCGCCUCGAAACGCUCGGCGGCGUGGCACCGGCUUUAAGCGUAGCAGAAUCUUUCGCUUUGGAAGUCGGGGCCCCGUCUGCCGGAAGACCUGCUCGCAAGGUUGACCUCGGAUCAGGCAGGGAUACCCGCUGAACUUAAGCAUAUCAAUAAGCGGAGGA